CUUCACCGAACCCAGCCACAACGGCUGUUCGGGCGACCGCUGCUGUCCGUAGGUCGCGAUCAGCGCCUGCGCCUC
This 75-nucleotide antisense RNA is filed under the name Streptomyces sp. XY431. Its description in RNAcentral is "ASpks sRNA". It matches the Rfam family "ASpks TB sRNA". Lineage: Bacteria; Bacillati; Actinomycetota; Actinomycetes; Kitasatosporales; Streptomycetaceae. The record is from RNAcentral.